RNAcentral lists this ribosomal RNA (492 nucleotides) under uncultured bacterium. RNAcentral describes it as "partial 16S ribosomal RNA". It matches the Rfam family "Bacterial small subunit ribosomal RNA", at positions 29 to 507 of the family's 1533-position model. The record is from RNAcentral.
AGUGAACGCUGGCGGUAGGCCUAACACAUGCAAGUCGAACGGCAGCACAGUAAGAGCUUGCUCUUACGGGUGGCGAGUGGCGGACGGGUGAGGAAUACAUCGGAAUCUACUUUUUCGUGGGGGAUAACGUAGGGAAACUUACGCUAAUACCGCAUACGACCUACGGGUGAAAGCAGGGGAUCUUCGGACCUUGCGCGAUUGAAUGAGCCGAUGUCGGAUUAGCUAGUUGGCGGGGUAAAGGCCCACCAAGGCGACGAUCCGUAGCUGGUCUGAGAGGAUGAUCAGCCACACUGGAACGGGGACACGGUCCAGACUCCUACGGGAGGCAGCAGUGGGGAAUAUUGGACAAUGGGCGCAAGCCUGAUCCAGCCAUACCGCGUGGGUGAAGAAGGCCUUCGGGUUGUAAAGCCCUUUUGUUGGGAAAGAAAAGCAGCAGGUUAAUACCCCGCUGUUCUGACGGUACCCAAAGAAUAAGCACCGGCUAACCUCGUG